UGCUUAGCCGUAAAAAAUUAACUUACAUACACCCGCCAGGGAAUUACAAGCGCAAGCCUAAAACCCAAAGGACUUGACGGUGUCCAACCCCCCUAGAGGAGCCUGUUUUUUAAUCGUCAUUACUCGUUAAACCUUACUACUCUUUGCUAUCAGCCUGUAUACUUCCGUCGUAAGCUUGCCACAUGAGUGCUAAAAAGCAAGCUCAAUGAUCUAUUCAUCACCACGUCAGGUCAAGGUGCAGCCAAAAGAGUAGCUAAAAUUGGCUACAGUCUCUAUUAUAGAACAUACGGAAUGAUCAUGUGAAAUGUGAUCAAGAAGGUGAAUUUAGUAGUAAAAAGAAAAUAGAGUGUUCUUUUGAACACGGCACUUGGACAUGU
RNAcentral lists this ribosomal RNA (377 nucleotides) under Spelaeophryne methneri (African striped frog). Its description in RNAcentral is "partial 12S ribosomal RNA". It matches the Rfam family "Bacterial small subunit ribosomal RNA", at positions 839 to 1384 of the family's 1533-position model. The record is from RNAcentral. Lineage: Eukaryota; Metazoa; Chordata; Amphibia; Anura; Brevicipitidae.